GAUGAACGCUGGCGGCGUGCUUAACACAUGCAAGUCGAACGAAGCACUUUUAUUUGAUUUCUUCGGAAUGAAGAUUUUAGUGACUGAGUGGCGGACGGGUGAGUAACGCGUGGGUAACCUGCCUCAUACAGGGGGAUAACAGUUAGAAAUGACUGCUAAUACCGCAUAAGACCACAGCACCGCAUGGUGCAGGGGUAAAAACUCCGGUGGUAUGAGAUGGACCCGCGUCUGAUUAGGUAGUUGGUGGGGUAACGGCCUACCAAGCCGACGAUCAGUAGCCGACCUGAGAGGGUGACCGGCCACAUUGGGACUGAGACACGGCCCAAACUCCUACGGGAGGCAGCAGUGGGGAAUAUUGCACAAUGGGGGAAACCCUGAUGCAGCGACGCCGCGUGAGCGAUGAAGUAUUUCGGUAUGUAAAGCUCUAUCAGCAGGGAAGAAAAUGACGGUACCUGACUAAGAAGCACCGGCUAAAUACGUGCCAGCCGCCGCAGUAA
This 497-nucleotide ribosomal RNA is filed under the name uncultured bacterium. RNAcentral's name for it is "partial 16S ribosomal RNA". It matches the Rfam family "Bacterial small subunit ribosomal RNA", at positions 28 to 523 of the family's 1533-position model. The record is from RNAcentral.